UGGUGUAGAGGAAGUCCAUAUGAGUCUUUGUCGUUGUAUCUUCUAACAAGGAAACACUACUUAGGCUUUUAGGAUAAAGUUGCGGUUUAAGUUCUUAUACGCAAUCAUACUCAUGACAUCAAGUCAUAUUUGACUCCAAAACACUAACCAAGCUUCUCCUUGCUUCUCAAAGCUUUGAUGGUGUAGCCGAAGUCUUUAUGAGUCUUUGUCUUUGUAUCUUCUAACAAUGAAA
RNAcentral lists this small RNA (232 nucleotides) under Arabidopsis thaliana (thale cress). RNAcentral's name for it is "ATSL089020". Lineage: Eukaryota; Viridiplantae; Streptophyta; Magnoliopsida; Brassicales; Brassicaceae. The record is from RNAcentral.